This 133-nucleotide ribosomal RNA is filed under the name uncultured bacterium. RNAcentral's name for it is "partial 16S ribosomal RNA". The record is from RNAcentral.
GGAGUUAGCCGAGGCUUAUUCGUCAGGUACCGUCAGAUCUUCUUCCCUGACAAAAGAGGUUUACAACCCAAAAGCCUUCCUCCCUCACGCGGUCUUGCUCCGUCAGGCUUUCGCCCAUUGCGGAAAAUUCCCC